AGAAUCAACGCUGGCGGCGUGCCUCAGACAUGCAAGUCGAACGCGAAAGUCCCCUUCGGGGGGCAAGUAGAGUGGCGCACGGGUGAGUAACACGUAGGUAAUCUACCUUCGGAUGGGGAAUAACAAUCGGAAACGGUUGCUAAUACCGCAUAAUGCAGCGGCACCUAAUGGUGACAGUUGUUAAAGCGGGGGAUCGAAAGACCUCGCGUCUGAAGAGGAGCCUGCGGCGGAUUAGCUAGUUGGUAAGGUAAUGGCUUACCAAGGCUACGAUCC
Molecule: ribosomal RNA, 273 nt
Filed under: uncultured soil bacterium
Lineage: Bacteria
Description: partial 16S ribosomal RNA
Rfam family: Bacterial small subunit ribosomal RNA
Source: RNAcentral